This 248-nucleotide ribosomal RNA is filed under the name uncultured bacterium. RNAcentral's name for it is "partial 16S ribosomal RNA". It matches the Rfam family "Bacterial small subunit ribosomal RNA", at positions 524 to 771 of the family's 1533-position model. The record is from RNAcentral.
UACGGAGGGUGCAAACGUUGCUCGGAAUCAUUGGGCGUAAAGCGCACGUAGGCGGCUCGUUAAGUCGGAUGUGAAAGCCCCGGGCUCAACUCGGGAAGUGCAUUCGAAACUGGCGAGCUUGAAUAUGGAAGAGGGUCGCGGAAUUCCCGGUGUAGGAGGUGAAAUUCGUAGAUAUCGGGAGGAACACCAGUGGCGAAGGCGGCGACCUGGGCCAAUAUUGACGCUGAGGUGCGAAAGCGUGGGAGCAA